GCUGUACCUGAAUGUGAUGCUGGAGAACUUUGAACUUAUAUCCUCCCUGGAUUCCCAGCUCACAGAUAACCUUAACCUCCCUGGACCUUGUACCUCUGCCUCUUUCACAGGUCUCUCUGUACUGCAAGCCAACAUUGGUCCAUGCAUGUAGCACUUUGGAGAGAACACAUGUUAUUAUAUUCGAGUUGUAUAUCCUGUGAGCUAAUAAAAUUAUUUUUUAUG
Long non-coding RNA from Myotis lucifugus (little brown bat), 222 nucleotides. RefSeq lists it as uncharacterized. The record is from RefSeq and is a predicted model, not a curated record. The transcript has 2 exons. NCBI's taxonomy places the organism in Eukaryota, Metazoa, Chordata, Mammalia, Chiroptera, Vespertilionidae.